RNAcentral lists this ribosomal RNA (494 nucleotides) under uncultured bacterium. RNAcentral describes it as "partial 16S ribosomal RNA". It matches the Rfam family "Bacterial small subunit ribosomal RNA", at positions 28 to 507 of the family's 1533-position model. The record is from RNAcentral.
GACGAACGCUGGCGGCGCGCUUAACACAUGCAAGUCGUACGGAAAGGCCUGCUUUCCCUUGUGGAUUGCGGGUACUCGAGUGGCGAACGGGUGAGUAACACGUGAGUGAUCUGCCCCCAACUUGGGUAUAAGCCUGGGAAACUGGGUCUAAUUCCCGAUAGGACUGCAGGGUGGUGCCUGUGGUGGAAAACGAUUUUCUAGUGGUUGCGUGUGAGCUCGCGGCCUAUCAGCUUGUUGGUGGGGUAAUGGCCUACCAAGGCGGCGACGGGUAGCCGGCCUGAGAGGGUGGACGGCCACAUUGGGACUGAGAUACGGCCCAGACUCCUACGGGAGGCAGCAGUGGGGAAUAUUGCACAAUGGGCGGAAGCCUGAUGCAGCGACGCAGCGUGGGGGAUGACGGCCUUCGGGUUGUAAACUCCUUUCGACCGCGAGGAAGCCACCUGGUUGGAAGGGUGGUGACGGUAGUGGUAGAAGAAGCACCGGCUAACUACGUG